Molecule: ribosomal RNA, 253 nt
Filed under: uncultured bacterium
Lineage: Bacteria
Description: partial 16S ribosomal RNA
Rfam family: Bacterial small subunit ribosomal RNA
Source: RNAcentral
UACGUAGGGACCAAGCGUUGUCCGGAAUCAUUGGGCGUAAAGAGCGUGUAGGCGGCCUGUUAAGUCUUGCGUGAAAGCCCGGGGCUCAACCCCGGAACGGCAUCCGAUACGGGGCGGCUCGAGACCGAGAGAGGUGAGUGGAAUUCCUGGUGUAGCGGUGGAAUGCGCAGAUAUCAGGAGGAACACCAAUAGCGAAGGCAGCUCGCUGGGACGGUACUGACGCUGAGGCGCGAAAGCGUGGGGAGCGAACAGG